CAGCAGCCGCGGUAAUACGUAGGUGGCAAGCGUUGUCCGGAUUUAUUGGGUUUAAAGGGUGCGUAGGCGGUUAUAUAAGUCAGUGCUGAAAUAUCCCGGCUUAACCGGGAGGGUGGCAUUGAUACUGUAUAACUUGAGUAAAGUUGAGGUGGGCGGAAUUGACGGUGUAGCGGUGAAAUGCUUAGAUAUCGUCAAGAACACCGAUUGCGAAGGCAGCUCACUAAGCUUUAACUGACGCUGAGGCACGAAAGUGUGGGGAUCAAACAGGAUUAGAUACCCUGGUAGUCCACACUGUAAACGUUGAUUACUCGCUGUUGGCGAUACACAGCCAGCGGCCAAGCGCAAGCGAUAAGUAAUCCACCUGGGGAGUACGCCGGCAACGGUGAAACUCAAAGGAAU
Molecule: ribosomal RNA, 399 nt
Filed under: uncultured bacterium
Lineage: Bacteria
Description: bacterial SSU rRNA
Rfam family: Bacterial small subunit ribosomal RNA
Source: RNAcentral